Molecule: ribosomal RNA, 394 nt
Filed under: uncultured Pseudomonas sp.
Lineage: Bacteria; Pseudomonadati; Pseudomonadota; Gammaproteobacteria; Pseudomonadales; Pseudomonadaceae
Description: bacterial SSU rRNA
Rfam family: Bacterial small subunit ribosomal RNA
Source: RNAcentral
GCCUAACACAUGCAAGUCGAGCGGAUGAGAGGAGCUUGCUCCUUGAUUUAGCGGCGGACGGGUGAGUAAUGCCUAGGAAUCUGCCUGGUAGUGGGGGAUAACGUUCCGAAAGGAACGCUAAUACCGCAUACGUCCUACGGGAGAAAGCAGGGGACCUUCGGGCCUUGCGCUAUCAGAUGAGCCUAGGUCGGAUUAGCUAGUUGGUGAGGUAAUGGCUCACCAAGGCGACGAUCCGUAACUGGUCUGAGAGGAUGAUCAGUCACACUGGAACUGAGACACGGUCCAGACUCCUACGGGAGGCAGCAGUGGGGAAUAUUGGACAAUGGGCGAAAGCCUGAUCCAGCCAUGCCGCGUGUGUGAAGAAGGUCUUCGGAUUGUAAAGCACUUUAAGUUG